RNAcentral lists this ribosomal RNA (434 nucleotides) under uncultured Clostridium sp. Its description in RNAcentral is "partial 16S ribosomal RNA". It matches the Rfam family "Bacterial small subunit ribosomal RNA", at positions 341 to 792 of the family's 1533-position model. The record is from RNAcentral. Lineage: Bacteria; Bacillati; Bacillota; Clostridia; Eubacteriales; Clostridiaceae.
ACGGGAGGCAGCAGUGGGGGAUAUUGCACAAUGGGGGAAACCCUGAUGCAGCGACGCCGCGUGAGUGAAGAAGUAUUUCGGUAUGUAAAGCUCUAUCAGCAGGGAAGAAAAUGACGGUACCUGACUAAGAAGCUCCGGCUAAAUACGUGCCAGCAGCCGCGGUAAUACGUAUGGAGCAAGCGUUAUCCGGAUUUACUGGAUGUAAAGGGUGCGUAGGCGGCAUGGCAAGUCAGAUGUGAAAGACCGGGGCUCAACUCCGGGGCUGCAUUUGAAACUGUCUUGCUAGAGUGCAGGAGGGGCAAGCGGAAUUCCUAGUGUAGCGGUGAAAUGCGUAGAUAUUAGGAGGAACACCAGUGGCGAAGGCGGCUUACUGGACGGUAACUGACGUUGAGGCUCGAAAGCGUGGGGAGCAAACAGGAUUAGAUACCCUGGUA